This 397-nucleotide ribosomal RNA is filed under the name uncultured bacterium. RNAcentral's name for it is "bacterial SSU rRNA". It matches the Rfam family "Bacterial small subunit ribosomal RNA", at positions 28 to 417 of the family's 1533-position model. The record is from RNAcentral.
GACGAACGCUGGCGGCGUGCUUAACACAUGCAAGUCGAGCGGUAAGGCCCUUUCGGGGGUACGACGAGCGGCGAACGGGUGAGUAACACGUGGGUGGACCUGCCUUUAGUCUCUGGGAGUAAGCCUGGGAAACGUAGGGUCGUAAUACCGGAUAUGACUCCGCGGUGCAUGCUGUGGGGUGGAAAGCCUUGUGCGGCUGGAGAUGGGCCCGCGGCCUAUCAGCUUGUUGGUGGGGUGAUGGCCUACCAAGGCGACGACGGGUAGCCGGCCUGAGAGGGCGACCGGCCACACUGGGACUGAGACACGGGCCCAGACUCCUACGGGAGGCAGCAGGUGGGGAAUCUUGCGCAAUGGGCGAAAGCCUGACGCAGCGACGCCGCGUGAGGGAUGACGGCCU